RNAcentral lists this long non-coding RNA (509 nucleotides) under Elaeis guineensis (African oil palm). RNAcentral's name for it is "long non-coding RNA (EGUI_LNC030186)". The record is from RNAcentral. Lineage: Eukaryota; Viridiplantae; Streptophyta; Magnoliopsida; Arecales; Arecaceae.
GCCAUGCUUAGGGCUUCUUGGUUAGCCAUGCUAGAUUGAUCGGACUCGCCCUAAACUGUGGGGGUAAGACUAGUGGCUUUAUGGUGGUAUAUGAGCUAGAGUUGGGUUCCGAUUAUUUUGCAACUGCUAGGGUGCCAUAGACCUUUAUGUUCUUUAGACUACUUUGAUCAGAGCUUGCAUCUGCUGGAUGAGUAGAUUAAAAUGCUCGAGGGUGACCACUAUUAGAGGCUGAGGUAAUUGAGAUGGUGGUACUCUAAUUGGGCUCAAUAAAGAGCCAUUGGAGCGAUUUGAAGUGUGUGAUGCCCCCCACAUGAUCUCAUUAUGAUUCUAAAUUUCUCUCUUCUAAAACAGGUCAAAUGCCCUCUUUUUAGCAUCAAUAUAUUGCUACUGAAUUUUGAGAUCGGACAUAGGUCAAUAUGGCCCGAAGUUAGGUAAGAUCAAUGAUGUUGACGAGGCUCCUGAUUUCAAACACUGAAUUUAGAAAGAAGUCCUCUUGUCGGAGUUUUUCA